GCCAGGCGUGGUGGUUCACACCUGUAAUCCCAGUGAUUUGGGAGGCUGAGGCAGCAGGAUCGAAAGUUUGGUGCCAGCUUCAACCUAGUGAGACCUUAAGCAAUAUAGUGAGACGCUGUCUCAA
This 124-nucleotide small RNA is filed under the name Marmota monax (woodchuck). Lineage: Eukaryota; Metazoa; Chordata; Mammalia; Rodentia; Sciuridae. The record is from RNAcentral.